Molecule: ribosomal RNA, 465 nt
Filed under: Vreelandella stevensii
Lineage: Bacteria; Pseudomonadati; Pseudomonadota; Gammaproteobacteria; Oceanospirillales; Halomonadaceae
Description: partial 16S ribosomal RNA
Rfam family: Bacterial small subunit ribosomal RNA
Source: RNAcentral
CCUACGGGGCGCAGCAGUGGGGAAUAUUGGACAAUGGGCGAAAGCCUGAUCCAGCCAUGCCGCGUGUGUGAAGAAGGCCUUCGGGUUGUAAAGCACUUUCAGUGGGGAAGAAAGCUUUGGGGCUAAUACCCUCGAGGAAGGACAUCACCCACAGAAGAAGCACCGGCUAACUCCGUGCCAGCAGCCGCGGUAAUACGGAGGGUGCGAGCGUUAAUCGGAAUUACUGGGCGUAAAGCGCGCGUAGGCGGUCUGAUAAGCCGGUUGUGAAAGCCCCGGGCUCAACCUGGGAACGGCAUCCGGAACUGUCAGGCUAGAGUGCAGGAGAGGAAGGUAGAAUUCCCGGUGUAGCGGUGAAAUGCGUAGAGAUCGGGAGGAAUACCAGUGGCGAAGGCGGCCUUCUGGACUGACACUGACGCUGAGGUGCGAAAGCGUGGGUAGCAAACAGGAUUAGAUACCCGUGUAGUC